RNAcentral lists this ribosomal RNA (387 nucleotides) under uncultured eukaryote. RNAcentral's name for it is "partial 18S ribosomal RNA". It matches the Rfam family "Eukaryotic small subunit ribosomal RNA", at positions 592 to 976 of the family's 1831-position model. The record is from RNAcentral.
CAAUAGCGUAUAUUAAAGUUGUUGCAGUUAAAAAGCUCGUAGUUGGAUUUGGGACUGGAGUCGCUCGGUCGGCCGUGAGGUCUGUUACUGAGCGGCUCUGUCAUUACAUUUCUCAGAGACCUGUCGUGUACUUAACUGUGCGCGGCAUGGGAUUUGGGACGUUUACUUUGAAAAAAUUAGAGUGUUCAAAGCAGGCUUUUCAAGCCCGAAUACAUGAGCAUGGAAUAAUGGAAUAGGACCGCGGUUCUAUUUUGUUGGUUUCUACGACCGCAGUAAUGAUUAAGAGGGACAAUUGGGGGCAUCCGUAUUUCGUUGUCAGAGGUGAAAUUCUUGGAUUUACGAAAGACGAACAACUGCGAAAGCAUUUGCCAAGAGUGUUUUCAUUAA